CUGUAUUGAUCUGAUCAGAGUGUAUUGAUUAGACUGUAUUGAUCUGAUCAGAGUGUAUUGAUUAGACUGUAUUGAUCUGAUCAGAGUGUAUUGAUCUUUCUCUGCUGGAUCAGUGUUGAAGAAUAUGGUCAUGCUGUCGGAAGAGAGCUGGUUAAAGAAGCUGAUUAACAAAAUGAACCAGCGCUCCCAGCAACAGAUCACCGGUAUGUAUUACUAUUGUUACUAAACCAUUAACUACUCAUUACUUUCUGUUACUGAAUAAUUAAUUACUCAGUAUUGCCAUUAACUACUAACUACUAAUUAUUAUUAUUAUUAUUAUGAUUAUAGAUCUGGAGAAGGUGUUGAAGGAGACGGAGGAAACACUGAAAUAUAAAACAGCCGAGCUGGUGAAGACCGGCAGCUACGCCGACCAGCUGAUUAAAGACAUUGUGGUUCUGAGAGGAGAUGUGAAGAAGAUAAAGGAGGAACUGAGCCGGUUGCAGGUUUCUUCAGUCUCUCAGGUAGCAGAACUGGAGAAGAUGCUGACCAAGACCAAACAGGAGCUGGAGAAAGGAAACCGCUCUCUGAACGACAAGGACGCCGAGUUAGCGAAGAACAUGGCCAGAAUCACUCAGCUAAUAGAGGAACUCAGACAGACUAAACUCAGAGCCCAGGAGAACGACGAGGAGGCAGCUGCUACUAUAGCCGGUGAGUUUUCCAUCCAUCCAUCCAUCAUCCAUCAUCCAUCCAACCAUUCAUCCA
Molecule: long non-coding RNA, 741 nt
Filed under: Astyanax mexicanus (Mexican tetra)
Lineage: Eukaryota; Metazoa; Chordata; Actinopteri; Characiformes; Acestrorhamphidae
Description: lncRNA (ENSAMXG00005011265.1)
Source: RNAcentral